UCGAUUGAGUUUGAUCAUGGCUCAGAGCGAACGCUAGCGGCAGGCUUAACACAUGCAAGUCGAACGCGAAUCCUUCGGGAUUCGAGUGGCGAACGGGUGAGUAACACGUGGGUCACGUACCCUGAGGUGGGGGAUAACCCGAGGAAACUCGGGCUAAUACCGCAUGUGCGCUUCGGCGUAAAAGUCUUCGGACGCCUUUGGAACGGCCCGCGGCCGAUUAUUUAGUCCUAGUUGGUGAGGUAACGGCUCACCAAGGGUACGAUCGGUAGCUGGUCUGAGAGGACGAUCAGCCACACUGGGACUGAGACACGGCCCAGUCUCCUACGGGAGGCAGCAGUGGGGAAUAUUGGACAAUGGGCGAAAGCCUGAUCCAGCUAUGCCGCGUGGGUGAAGAAGGCCUUCGGGUUGUAAAGCCCUGUCGGGAGGGAAGAAAAAAAUGACGGUACCUCGCAAGAAAGCACCGGCUAACUCCGUGCCAGCAGCCGCGGUAAUACGGAGGGUGCAAGCGUUGCUCGGAAUCACUGGGCGUAAAGCGACCGCAGGCG
This 545-nucleotide ribosomal RNA is filed under the name uncultured bacterium. RNAcentral describes it as "bacterial SSU rRNA". It matches the Rfam family "Bacterial small subunit ribosomal RNA", at positions 1 to 577 of the family's 1533-position model. The record is from RNAcentral.